UAAACUAGGAUUAGAUACCCUAUUAUAUUUAAAUAAAUAAAGUAGUAAAAAUAAUCAAACUAAUUUAAUUUGGCGGCAUUUCAUCUAAUUAGAGGAAUUUGUUUAUUAAUCGAUAAUCCACGUUAAUUUUCACUUUAACCUAAAAUUUAUAUACCGCCAUUUUAAGAAUCAAUUUAAAAAUUUCUUUCUUAAUAAAUCAUAAAAAAUUAGGUCAAGGUGUAAUCUAUAUUAAAGAAUAAAAUGAAUUACAUUAAAUAGUAUUUAAAGAUUAUUUAUAAAUAUAUCAAUAUAAAUAAGAAUUUAAAAGUAAUACAAUAAUAAUA
Molecule: ribosomal RNA, 323 nt
Filed under: Pireneitega huochengensis
Lineage: Eukaryota; Metazoa; Arthropoda; Arachnida; Araneae; Agelenidae
Description: partial small subunit ribosomal RNA
Source: RNAcentral